CGAUUAAAGCUCUCUUCGGAGAGUGCAUAGAGUGGCGCACGGGUGAGUAACACGUAAGUAAUCUACCUUCGAGUGGGGAAUAACGUCCGGAAACGGACGCUAAUACCGCAUAAUGCAGCGGCAUCAUAAGAUGACAGUUGUUAAAGGAGCAAUUCGCUUGAAGAGGAGCUUGCGGCAGAUUAGCUAGUUGGUAAGGUAAUGGCUUACCAAGGCUACGAUCUGUAACCGGUCUAAGAGGACGGUCGGUCACACUGACACUGAAUAACGGGUCAGACUCCUACGGGAGGCAGCAGUCGGGAAUUUUGGGCAAUGGGCGAAAGCCUGACCCAGCAACGCCGCGUGAAGGAUGAAGUAUUUCGGUAUGUAAACUUCGAAAGAAUGGGAAGAAUCAAUGACGGUACCAUUUAUAAGGUCCGGCUAACUACGUGCCAGCAGCCGCGGUAAUACGUAGGGACCAAGCGUUGUUCGGAUUUACUGGGCGUAAAGGGCGCGUAGGCGGCUUAACAAGUCACUUGUGAAAUCUCCGGGCUUAACUCGGAACGGCCAAGUGAAACUGUCAAGCUAGAGUGCAGAAGGGGCAAUCGGAAUUCUUGGUGUAGCGGUGAAAUGCGUAGACAUCAAGAGGAACACCUGAGGUGAAGACGGGUUGCUGGGCUGACACUGACGCUGAGGCGCGAAAGCCAGGGGAGCAAACGGGAUUAGAUACCCCGGUAGUCCUGGCCCUAAACGAUGAAUACUUGGUGUCUGGAGUAAUAUGUGCUCCGGGUGCCGUCGCUAACGUUUUUAGUAUUCCGCCUGGGGAGUACGCUCGCAAAAGUGAAACUCAAAGGAAUUGACGGGGACCCGCACAAGCGGUGGAGCAUGUGGUUUAAUUCGACGCAACGCGAAGAACCUUACCUAGGCUAGAAUGUGAGGGAAGUCUGCGUAACAGCAGGCGUCUGGGAAACCAGACCCAAAACAAGGUGCUGCAUGGCUGUCGUCAGCUCGUGUCGUGAGAU
Molecule: ribosomal RNA, 998 nt
Filed under: uncultured bacterium
Lineage: Bacteria
Description: bacterial SSU rRNA
Rfam family: Bacterial small subunit ribosomal RNA
Source: RNAcentral